GAAGGCUGAAAUUCGCCUUCAUGAAGCCGGAAUUGCUAGUAAUGGCAGGUCAGCAUACUGCCGUGAAUACGUUCCCGGGCCUUGUACACACCGCCCGUCACACCAUGAGAGUUGGGAAUACCCGAAGCCUGUGAGCUAACGUUAAGAGGCAGCAGUCGAAGGUAGAAUCAAUGAUUGGGGUGAAGUCGUAACAAGGUACC
RNAcentral lists this ribosomal RNA (200 nucleotides) under uncultured bacterium. RNAcentral's name for it is "partial 16S ribosomal RNA". It matches the Rfam family "Bacterial small subunit ribosomal RNA", at positions 1300 to 1500 of the family's 1533-position model. The record is from RNAcentral.